This is a long non-coding RNA of Phycodurus eques (leafy seadragon), 5062 nucleotides long. RefSeq lists it as uncharacterized. NCBI's taxonomy places the organism in Eukaryota, Metazoa, Chordata, Actinopteri, Syngnathiformes, Syngnathidae. The transcript has 3 exons. The record is from RefSeq and is a predicted model, not a curated record.
AUGAUACGUCUGAUCUGCUCCAUAGACUGCAGGUCGGGGGACAGACCUGCGGGCGGCACCGUGACACCACACCGUGAGCGGCCGGAGCGGCUUUAUCAAACGGCGCUCGUCCGGACCGCCCCGGCAUACCUCCGUGACAACAGAAGAUCUUCUCGUCCACGAUGGCGGCGAUGGGCAGGCAGUUGAAGCAGUCGGUGAAGGUCUUCCACAACUUGAUGUUGAACCGGCGCUUACCUGAGGGGGGGAGGGGGGGCGCUUCGGCGUAAGUUACCCCGUCUGUGGCGACCGAUCUACAGCGUGAGACGGGCGUACUCACACUCGUCGUAGAAGCCGUAGAUGCGGUUGAUGGAGGCGCACUCGUGGUUGCCCCGCAGCAGGAAGAAGUUCUCGGGGUACUUGAUCUUGUAGGCCAAAAGCAGGCAGAUGGUCUCCAAGGACUGCUUUCCCCUGUCCACGUAGUCGCCUAGGAACAGGUAGUUGGCCUCUGGGGGGAAGCCGCCGUACUCAAAGAGCCUCAGCAGGUCUGUAUACUGCCCGUGGAUGUCACCUGGAGGGAGGGCAGCACGUGCGGGAAGAGCGGACGAGACGCUGAUUGGUCAGGAACGGACAGAGCAAACGGACGGGGAGCGCUCACCACAGAUUUUGAGCGGUGCCUCCAGCUCCAGAAGGAUGGGCUGACUGAGGAAAAUCUCCCGGGACUUGAUGCAAAGGCCCCGCACCUCGGCCUCCGUCAUCUGGACGAUCUUGCCCGGACGACAUCCUCGCACUGGGAGGUGAAAGCAAAAGCGUCACCGGUGCGGCUCCCUCGCCUCCAUUAAACAUUUUGCUGUCAUCAUUCCACAGUGUCACGCCUCAUCCUCUCUGCGCAGGUGAACAUCCGGGUGAUCAUCAUUUUUCCGGUGCUUUUUAACUCAUUCACUGCCAGCCUUCCCAGUUAACAUGGAUAUUUGACUUCUAAAGCCGUCAAUGGCAGUGAAUGUGUUAAGAACAGCAGAGUGUGUGCGCACUUAAAUGUGUCAUAAUGAUACGCCAUUUGUCUUUUACAAGAGGAACAGCAGCAACGCUUCACAUGCUAUCUGCCAAACAGACUGAACCUGAAGAGUGACACACAGACUCAACCAGCAAGGUGCGUGUAUGGGAGCGAGUGAAAGAUGCGCGUGUCGAGCGUGACUUCACCUUCCCUCCCUCUGAGCUGCGUGAUGGCGUGCUUGCAGAACGGGCAGCUGGAUCAACUGACAAGUCAGGACUGAUAUAGGACAAACGCGCACACACAUGGGGAUCGCCUUUCAGCCGCUGGCGUAGACACACACAUGCACGCACGCACGCUUCAAGUUUUUUCGCUCACAGUGACCAGUGACCUUGACUUUGGGACGUACCACUAUGCGCUUCCGACAAGCACCCUUUGUGACAGUUUAAAAAAACCGUGGACGUCUUAUAAACCACUAACACACACACACGCAAGCACACCUUAUUACCAUGGAAACCCAGCAAGACCAAUUUCCAGCAUACAAAAAAUGUGAGCGAACAUUUUGCAAAAUAAAUGUUCGUGUGCACACCGACAGCAAGUCCAACAGAAACCGUACGCCAAAAUACAGAAACAACCUCGAGGGUCUUUUCAGUUUGAAAUGACGUUUGUUUUUUCUUGUGUGCGGAAGACGCAGAGCCGUCAAAGGAGAAGCGAGGCCCCGAUUUCCUCCCCCCUCCUGGCAUCAUCCACUCGCUCGGUUCAUCUGUGCUCAGGCUCUUGAGGGGUCACGGCGGCCAACUGUGUUUCCGAAGAGAGAGAGCGGGCCAGGCCAUAUAUGGGCGUCGCUGUACGGCGGCUUUGAGGAAGUAGGCCGUCAGGGCGAAGAGCUCCCUCCUCUCCUCGCUGGUGGAACGAGAACUACACGAUCCGGCGUAGGGAGCUGUGCGAGCCCAUUCGCAGAAACACGCACGCCGCAUCAGCCCAGCCAAGUUGGCAGAGGGAGUCCAGAGUCACUGUGAGAGGGAGAAAAGGCGACGCCAUUCCUGAACAGGCCGUUUUGUUCUGCCGCUGACAUUUCGAGUAGAAGGAGCGUCUUUGUGAGGCCGAAGAAAGGACCAAACUGAGACAACGGGGGGUGCGUCAUUUCUUUACACUGAGCACCAUUGACGGCUUUAGAAGUCCAAUAUACAUGUUAAUUUACCAUUUCUGUGAUACAAUUAAGUGACUGCUAUUGAGGGGUUACACAUUUCGUUUGUUUUCAAAUUUUCAAUGUUUAUUAACCAACUGACUAACAGGCCGUAGCGCCGGCGCGGUAGGAACUGAAAACCUCGGCACUCGCCGCCGCUUAGUAUCAGGAACAGCUGUGUGUGCUGACAUUUACCAGGACAUCUCUGCAGCUAUGUGCACCCAUGUGCCCGUCAACAGUGAAACAAAACACCCCCCCUGCCCCAAAAUGUAUUUCGGGCUGGAGACUGCGACGGGAUGCGCAACGUUCAAAUGCUUUAAAUUAGAUGACAAUUAUAAUAAAUGUAUGACUGCAAUUGCCUGGAUUUUGGCCGAUUGCAGGUGGGUGUGAAGCGUAUCCUCCGCCAUAAACUGAUUCGCUGCGUUCUGAGCUGGUAACAACACUGAGGCUCAAGUCGGUGGCACGGUCAAUGAUGUAACAUGCGCAAUCAAUCUGGAGGAUGCUUAGGCUGUACUGCAAUUGUGCACGUUCAGCGCAAACCGUUCAACGGGAAAAAAACACGGCGGCCGUUUCUCUUGAGAUAAAUAAACGAGCCAGGCCUUCGACCGGCUUCCAACUGCAGUCAAAACCUGUUCAUCGCGGGUUCCAGAAUCACCCACCCGCGAUAGGUGAAAAUCUAUGCGAGCAUAUGGAAUAUACUCUACGUAUUGUUGUGUCUGUGUACAUCCGUGUGGCGUGAGUGUCUGGGCGUGAACUGUGGUCGACAGCAGCCCCUGCACGAGUGAGCGUGCUCGGGUGUCAGCGAAUGCGGCUCUACAGUAAGUAUACGGUAAAAAAGUAAAUAAAUGCAAUAUGGCGAGGAAAAGGGAUUAAUUCCAAGCAAUCGCGAUUCGGAGCAAAAGCAGUGUUUCAUGCAAAACGACACCCAACACGAGAAGUCUGUCGCAUCGCUUUCAAAUCAAACAGAAAUGUUAAUUCCACGCCUUCUAGUGUAAAUAUUCGCAUGUAAACACAAACAAACACGCGCCACAUCCCCUUGGAAGAAAAAAAACUGCUGGAAAAUCCAACAGGCACACCCCAGACUUUAAGUGGUUUCUAUUUACCCAAAACAAACAACAUUGCGGACACUUUCGGCGGCCAUUAUUGACCAAAUUACGGUUUGUAUUUGGGGAUUUAAAAAAAAACUUUGGGGAGUGAGGUGGACCCAAAGCUACCGCCCAUCACCGUGCCGCGUUCAAGAAACGCGAGGAACGUUUUAAAAAGGGGACACCAACUUUUCUGGUUUUAUUUCAUGAUGUCAGUACGUGUCAGGCACUGUACCGCAGUCAAACAUUUGUCAAGACGUUCGUCACGCCAACGCGAAUGACAUUUACUCCACCUAGUGUCGCGGUGCAUAUAGCCUGCGGUCGGUGAACGACAACUUUCUGUCGCCAGGCAAAAACGUCACACAUCGGUGGCGAUGAUUUCGGGUGCCAAUUUAAAAAAAAAAUAAUAAUAAAAGCGUAAACAGAAAACGAAGGGAGGAAAAGGGGCGAACAAAGCUUAAAGGUGCGGUUGUGAUUUCGCCAGCAAGACGUUUUUGUUUUCUGUUUUUCGGCGACGUUAGCAAGUCGAGCAAAGCUUUUUAGCUUGUGGGCAAAAAAAACAAAAACAAACGGAGAGACGCAGCCACGCAUCGCGCGCAAACCACGGAGGAAAAAAGAGCGUCAGACUCACCCUCUAAAAGCCUGGAAAUCAACGAGUCCACAUCCAACUCGCCCUCCGCCAUUUCUGUUCCGAAGAGCUCGCUGGCACCGCAGAGUGAAGGACGCUCGCAAGGUACCGCCUCACUGGCCCCAAACGCACCACCAACCUCCCCCGGGUUUGCCGUUUAUGACAUGCCUCGCGCUGCCUUUAAGGUCCGUCGCAUACGUGGACGCGCUAACGCCACGAGGGGGGUUCGAUUCAAUCGGCCCCAAGUCGAUCGAGAGUGAUCCAAAGUGACUAGGUUUGGAUAUGACGUAUUUGUUACACGUGAACGUGACAGUGACAAGUAAAAGUCGUAUGUCCUACGAUUGAUGCGAGCCCUUGAAGGCAUCAUUUCUUGCUUCUGCCCUCGCCACCUAGACAUCAACUAUACAUAGAACCCGUUUUGAGAGAGAGUUUGUUGGAAUACGUCAGCGCCUCCGCCAUAUUGGAUGUGUCAAUGGCAAGCGGUGUCUUCGGAAUGACGUUUUGUUUUUUGACCCCCCCCCCCCCACACACACACACACACAAAAAAAACUACAUGUUACUAGUGAGCACUCGUUCAGUUGUAUUUUAUUGGGGAAAAAAACAAAUGUAAAGAAUUAAACAGUUUAUGCAUCCUGAUUACAUACUUCAACACCCAUUGAUAUUGUGCUCAAUUUGGUGCGUGCGCCUCGGCCAUAUACUACCAACGUUCAUAAGACACCAGAACGACUUGACAACGAAGUGACUCAGUAAGAUACAGUAAUAUAAGCCAUUUUUUGGCAGAGGAUAAAGAAUAGAUGCCUGUGAGUAUCGUUAUAUUGUCUGUCUACGUGUUGCUGCACCGUUUGUGUUCAAAUAUUCGUUGGGUCUAUUGUUACUCCUGCAAUGUCGAUGAUGAUUUUGUUAGCCUGUCUAUGGCGUUUUGCGUCGUGUCAGCAUUAAGCCAGUGGACUUUUGUUUAGUUUAAACUGCAUUUUGAAUGAUUAUGAAUGAUGAACGUGAUUUUUUUUGGGGGGGCGGUUGUAUUUGGUGACCAACGUUUGAGAACAUAACUGAUCUAAAAUAAAAACGCUCAUAACGUGUUGUGGCAUCCAGGGAUGGGUGGCUGUGGUAUUCCAUUUACUCGCCUACGUCGCCAUCUAGUGGGGAAAAUACGGAGGCGUUCCCUCGCCCUUCCCCUUCCUGUUAACACUUGCCUU